This 513-nucleotide long non-coding RNA is filed under the name Chrysemys picta bellii (western painted turtle). RNAcentral describes it as "lncRNA (ENSCPBG00000002717.1)". Lineage: Eukaryota; Metazoa; Chordata; Testudines; Emydidae. The record is from RNAcentral.
AUGUAUAUAACAGAGUGGGUAUUCUGUAUCUAUAUAGCUCUGAAUAUACGGGAUUGGAUUUUCAGAAGUGGUCAGUGCUGGCCCUCAUGUACUUUGAUGGGAGUAGACUUAAGUCAACAUUGUGGCUCCUGCAACACCACCAGUCUUCAGAUGUGUAACAUGGAUUGUACCCACUUCAAACAAUCUAAAACCUCAUUUAUAAUUUUUCAUACAAGGGGCCUCACUUUAAAACAAGUGCUGCAGGCAAGAAGGUAUGUGGCACACAUCUUCGGUUCCCUUGGUGGACAAGAAAGGACUACAACACAAACACAUCUAAUGUGAUAAGGUAAGAGAAGAAGUGAGAAAGCUUACAGGAAUCCAAAUUGUCCAGACACUAGAAAAAUUAAAACACCCAAAUCUAGGCUCAACAGAGCAUGGAAAUAUGAUGAAAAGCAGGGCUAUUAUUUUCAGUGAGUUUAUAGAUACAUAUGCAAAUAGAAUAAAACUAGGAACAUAUUAAAGGGAUCUGACUGA